GGCGAUUAGUGGUUGGGUCGCGCGGGUUGUGCUUUUUUUUUUUCUGCAAAUAGCGAUCGAACCCUAGUUCGCGUCAACGCCCAUUGAUAAGGUUAUCGUUAAGGUUAGCUGACAGUGAGGAGCAGUCAAAUGUUCCAAAGAAAUCCGAAGCUGAUGUCCCAAGCCUAAAUUAUCGUAAGCAACAUUCUUUAGGCAGUUUUUUUUUUUUUUUUUGCCUCUAGAGGAUGAUGUCACAUAGCCAAGAGUUACCUUAAAAUCCAACAAGGUAUAUCACUGAGAAAGGGAGCAGAUCACAAUUUGUUCUUCUUUCUUGUCAGACAGCUUUACUUUAAGCUAAAU
This 339-nucleotide long non-coding RNA is filed under the name Fukomys damarensis (Damara mole-rat). RNAcentral's name for it is "lncRNA (ENSFDAG00000031478.1)". Lineage: Eukaryota; Metazoa; Chordata; Mammalia; Rodentia; Bathyergidae. The record is from RNAcentral.